Pseudopipra pipra is the source of this 8691-nucleotide long non-coding RNA. RefSeq lists it as uncharacterized. The record is from RefSeq and is a predicted model, not a curated record. NCBI's taxonomy places the organism in Eukaryota, Metazoa, Chordata, Aves, Passeriformes, Pipridae. The transcript is spliced from 2 exons.
CUCCGGCCGCGCCCGCCAUGGCCCGCACGCGGCGGCGCCCCCUGGCGGCGGCGGGCGGCAAUGGCGGCGCCUGAGGGGCCGGGGCAGGGCCGGGAGCCCGGGAAUGGCGGCGGCGUUCGGGGUGAGAGGAACCCGAGCCCACCGAGCCCGACCGCUCCCCCAGCACCGCCAAGGCCACCCUAACCCGUGUCCCAAGCCCUGCAUAAUGUUCCAGGGGGAUGAGGCCCCACGUCCUUGUCCCAGCCCUGAAGGAGCAGCACAGUUACCAACAGUGCUCAGAAACAGCCCCUCCAGCCCCCAUUUCACCUCCGAGCCCGGUAACACACAAAAAGCCUUUCUUUCCUCCCUCCACUCCCCUCCAGUUCUCACAAGCCAUCAAAAAUUGCAAAUUUUUCCCGGUAACAUUCCAGACAGGGUGGCUGCAGAGGGAGUUAAGAGGUAACGCUUUUAUUUUGAUCCAAAUGUAUUUGAAGUGGAAGCUCUUGGUGCAGGGGCCAAUGCUCUGGGCCCUUGAGCAAGAAGAAAGAAGAGUCUUCCCGGGGAGGAAGGAGACACCUCCACAAUGUCAGCAAAUUCAAGAGAUCCUAGGUCAUGUCUGGGCCAUGGCUGCAUGUCCCUCCCAUUGGUCUGAUUAUAGUCCUGCCCAUUUUGGACCAGAAAGUCACUUCCACCGAUGAUCGCUGCUGCUUCUUGUACAACUGAAACAGCCUAAAAACCCCACAAAGUUCCCUGAACAAAACCUCAGCCUGUUUCAGUCAUUCCUCACUGGAUCUGCUGUACCUUGGCAGGAGCUGCACUCACAGAACACACGUUUUCCUGGGCUUUGCCAAAACCUUUUCCUGGAUCCUGUCAUUCUUCCCCCCAUGCCCGGCUCGGAUGUGGCCGUGGAGCAUUCCCCUCCCAGGUGCUCUCUGGGAUGGGUUCACUGUGCCCCUCUUCUCCUGCAGCAGCAGCUCCAGGCUUUGCAGGGUUUAAAAUCUCUGGGGUGCAAAUUUCACAGCUACUUGUAUUUAUUUUCUUUCCUGAGCAUCACAGGCUACCCAAAAUGAACAUUCAACAAAUCAACCUCAAAUGUGGCUUUUUCAGGGGAACACUAAAUUACAGACAACGUUAAUGGAGAAUGACAUUAAUGUGUGUCCAUGGAUGCAUGUUCAAGAGGGGAGAAAAUUAAAAAAAGAAAAUAUGGCAGCUCUGAGAAUGAAAAGGCUUCGUUUUCAGCCUUCCCAGGCUCUGCUGUUACCUGGGUGUUACCAGCAGCAGCUGCAGCAGGGCAGAAGGCAGCACAAAGUCUUUCCCAAUGGACACAUUUACCAAGAUGGAAAUUAAAUUAAGCAAAGUCCACUCUGCAAAGCACUACCAAAGCCCCUUGUAGGUCUUGGCACCUGAAUGAUCUAGAAAAACCACACAUCACCAGCACUCGGAGACUCAACAUCUCCCAAGCCCUGGAUGUCCAGAGGCACCAGCAUUAAACCCUCUGAGGAGCAGCAGCUUUGCAGGGAGAGCUCAGUUGCUCUGUGCUGUUUGCAGCUGCAGCUCUGCCCUGGAUGGGAAGGACUCUCUCUGGAUAUAAAAAUUGGAUAUAAACUGGAAUAUCCACUGCUUAAAGCAACAAGAUCAGUUUGACUUUACAGCUGCCAGAUAAAACAGCAGGGCCAGACCCAGUUCAGCAUCUUGGUAGAAAAAAUUCAUUAAAACCCAGAUUCUCUGUAUCCAGCAAAAAUAUUUUGCAAGGGGAGGGGAUAAGGAAUGCACAGAGGAGACAAUGUAGUGUCAUCAGAUAGUAUUUUAAUAAAAUGUACAGAAGUUUACAAGUCAAACAUUUCUUCAUGAUUACCAGAAACAGAUGAUCCCACCUGGAGUGCAAAACUUGGCCCCACUGAUGUGCCAGGCUGAGGUGGCUCCACGGCUGCUCAGGGACCACACAGAGGGGAAACUCUGCUCGUGGGACACGAGUCAGGUUGUGUGUCACAGUCAGGGGCCCACAGACACUCCCAGCUCCCCUUCCCGCUCCACGUGGGAACAAGGGAACUUCCUUCGCUCCUGGACUGGGUGAGGGUGCUCUACCCACUGCACCCUACACCCGAGUGAGUCCCCUGCCCUCCCACCCCAUCCCUGGGAGGGAUCGGGAACACUGGAUCAACAUUAUCCCUCCAGCUUCACAGGGAGCAUUUCUAGGUGUGUGUGAGGGUAUUUACCCACCUACAACGGAAACUACAGGCCGUGGCCUAUUUUUAGAAACACUAAUGCAGCUGUGAUCAGGCUUCAGGAAUGUGUUUCCCAACUGGACCAAGAUUUCACUGUCAGGACACCACUGUAAAAAUGCUUUGGAGUCUGUCGGUGUGCUGAAAGGCCUUGAUUUAACACCACGAGGAAAACAAACAAACAAACAAAAAACCAACAAAAAUUCAACUCCCCAACAGAAGAGUCUUUGGUGGAAGCUGAGUUAAAGUAACCGAUUACCACUUUGGAGUGACUGACAGUUCAGCAGCUGAGCAGAUCCUGCCCAGUUUGCUGCUGUCCCGCAGAGGAUGCUCCGGGAUGCGUCACGAUGCUCACAGGGGCUCAGCAUCACCUCUGUGCUCCAGGCAGGGUGUGCACCCCAGGCUGGGUGUGUGCUGGCUUCAGGAGGCUGAACUGUAAACUUAACACCAGGUGUGACGAUGCUGAGCUGGCUGGAGGGAGAGGAGACACGGGGAAAGCCCCUGAAAUCCUGCAGAGCCGGGCAGGACACAGGUCCAGGUCCCCCCACGGCGCUGUACCAACGUCAUGGCAGUGAGCACAGAGCCAAGCCAACUGCUUGCUCUAUUCACACAGAAACUCUGAUUAAUCACUUUGAAAAGAGACUUGAAGUGCAUUCAGGGAGUGAGAACCAAGAACCACUCCCUCUCCCAGCAGGAAUCCCAGAUUGUCCAAAGAUCCCUGCGAAACCCUCCGACCGUGCAGGAGGGCUCAGGGCAGUGAACAGAAUUUACUACAGCUUUACUAAAGAGAUGAAACCAGUGCUCCUCUUCAGAAAACUGAUUUCAAAACACUGCAUUGAGGCUGUACUAGUCUUACUUCAUUAGGAUCACUGGUUGUGUGGCAAAUAAUUAGCAUCAUUCUUCCCUGUUUUAACAUUACAACAGCAAGCUUCAGAGACUAGAGAAAUGAAAUUUCCAUUUAUAACUCAUCACACUGAGGCUGCAGCAGUGGCAGUGCAGGAUUAGGAGGAACACAGGCUGGAAAUGAGAAGGAUAUCAGAGUAACAGGCCCUGAAAUUGAGUCUUAUGACCAUAACCAAAAGUCCCAUUACUUUAUGAGCUACAUGCAGAGAUACAAACGAGCUGCCUCCGCCCUCAGAAGAGAUUUAAAACCAUUUAAGCACUGGAUGUGUCUGGCAGGAUUGUGAGCUCUAGGGCACAGUCAGCCUGCAAUUUGUGUAAAGUGCUUGAAGGACAAAAAAGCUGCCAAAAUGCCAGCUGGAAACUCAGCCUGACCCAACCUAACAGGGCUGGAAAUGAGCCCAGACACCCCAGUGUACCUUCCCUUUGAGCACAGAGGGGACAGGCUAAUACUCCUCCAGCACCAGCUCCGUGGCACCUGGACGUGGCAAGACCAGAAACUUCACAGAAUUAUCCAAAAGCAAUUUUUCAAGUAAAAAUGAAGGGCAGGAAGAACCUGAAUGCAGUGAGCAGAGGGAACACCCUGAACCCACCUGGGGUUCAGCAAAGCAUCUCCCUGUUCUGCAGGUUCAUCCCACACUGCCAAGGCCUGGCCUCCCUUCCAGCAGCUUCUGAGUGAAUUUAAGAGCUCGAGGCCAAGUGCAGCCUCCUGGCUCAGUGUGGCUGCGACACAGGUUGGUGUUGGGACAAAUCUGGGCCCUCACACUCCCCCUCCUUGAAUUCACAGUUUGCUGUCACAGUCGCUCUCAGGGCCUCUCACUGAUCCUAUCCAGCAACAACCAACUUGGGGAUACAGAGAUUUAAAACAAAAAAACAAAACCAACCACCUGUUGGGUGUAUACUUAAACAGAAAACUAAAAAACAAAACAAUAAACAGCCUCAGCUUUGCUGAAUAAACAUCUCAAGGGAAACCCAGAAACUUCUUUUACAGUACUUCUAUUUUCAAGAGGUGGUGAUGGAGGACAGAAAGCCCCUAAACCACCACUAUGCACCAAUAUUUAUUAGCUGUGAGUGCAGCAGAGCAGGGCAGAAGGUUCCCAGCUCCACACGCUCCAGCUGACCUGUUCACCAGGAACUUGUGCAAGCCAACGUGGCCUCCCUGCUUUCCAGUAUUCUCCCUGCCCAGCCCAGGGCUCUCAGACCUCAGCCCAAGCACUUCCCUCUCCCUUCCAGGCAACCCCCGUGUCCAGCAGAACACCUGGCUCAUCUCUUGCAACUGGAGAUAUUUUGGAGGGGAUUCAAAUUCAGGGAGGGGAAAGGGAACACUGAGCAGUCGGUGAUUCCCACUUGCAGAUGUUUUGCAGUCCCCUCCCAGCACUCAGGGAUUUUCCAUCCACCUGUCCAUCCAUCCCUCCAUCCUCCCGCUGUGUGGCUGGGAUGAAAGGUGAGCAGCGAGUCUGCCCCAGACUGUGCAAUGUCCUCUUUUUUUCAGCCUUCACACACAUCUUUUCUGUGCCUCCUGUGUUCCUUUAACACUUAUUAUUUGGACCUCGGACAGAGCCAUGUGCUGGAGGUGGUCUCAGGGUUUUUUCUCUCCAAACUACACCAAAGUCUAUUUUCAGCUGCAGCAGCUCCCCAGGGUGUGACUCCAGUGAGUCAGGAGGAGCUACAGCUGAUCCUUCCCUCUCUCCAAGGGCCACUACUCGAGGGACACUACUCACAGGACUUGCUCUCUGAGUACAAACACGUCAGCAAGUGGACAGGGAGGAACCUGCUCUGCACACAGCCAGUCCUGACCUCAGAGACCAACCCACGGCUCCAACAAUUCCCCUGCAAACGUCCAAAGACCACAAACCCACUCGUGGGAGACCCCCAAACACAAACUGUGUCCUUUACCCUCAGCACAAGGCUCCAGCUUGGACUGGGAGCUUGGACUGGGAUCCCACAGAGCCCUGAUAACCAGGUCUUUGAGAGCCAGUCCACUCUCACAAGCACCUUUGCAGGCCAGAAACAGCAGAUCCAGGGCAACUUCUGCAACCAGGCAUUUUGCAAAAUAAACAUGGGAGGUUCCACUCUCCUCUCUGUCCUCCACUAGUGAGCAGAGCAGGGAGCACAGUCUGCCCUGGGCCUGCCCAGUGCCUGCCCGGGGGAUUCUGCCUCUGAACACUCUGGCUGCUCACACAGUAAGUACUUGUCCUUCUCUUUGGGACUGGGAUAGAAAACAUAAUACUAGCGAAUGGAUUUUGUUGAAAUUCAUCCUUAAUCAACAAGAAAACAAAAGGCAGAAUUUACUCUGAGUCGAGCUCUGCCAGUACAAACCCAUCUAACAGGACCAAGUCACACCACGUGAGGUACAUCAGCACAGCUAUGGAGCUGUUUGCAUCAUAAAUUUCCCCCAAAGGUCUAUUUUUAAUACUGUAAAUACACAUCUCUCCUUCACCAAGAGCAGAUUUCCGGGUCCUACACUUUGGCAUAGACCAGACAGGAAAUACAUGUGUAAAAGUGAAAGCUUUGCCUGAUUGUUUGCACAAUAAUUUGAUUUUCCAGCAGCAGGAACAGCCUGAUUGCCUCACUGGAGUUCCCAAGACUGAAGGCACUGUGAGUCCUUCCCUGACUGGUGUGGCCCCACCCCAGGCAGCACUGCCACGUGUCCCACCCCAGGGAGAGCAGAGCCACGGCUCUGCUCCCACCACCCUGCACAGCCUGGCCCCAGAGAGCACUGCAGGGUCUGCCUGGGUGGGCACAUCACCCCCAACACCCACCCAGAGCCACAGCUGCCACGGCCACACCGCUGCUGAGCAGCAGGAAUAGCACUGACGGCAAAGAAGUCACAAUAAGCCUUUAACCUGUGAAAUCACGUCCUUUCCAGAGCAUUAGAAAGUCCUGCUUGACUUGCUCUGUAAUUAAUAAACCUUUUAAUUCAUCUUAUAAUGCAUUUCUCUAGCCAGGACCAGAAAAUAUGGAAUACUACUAGUUUGGAAAAGCAUCUAAAAAAAUAAAUGGGGGGAAGACAGUGAGAGGAGGAAGGUGAGAAAGGCUCUGAGGAUCCUGAGAGCCAGGCAUUGGGACUAACAUAACUUAGAACGGUUCCACUACCUAUCACUGCAGAGAGAGUUCCGACCAAAAAUAAUAAUUAUUUUAUACAUAUAUAUUGCUAUGUCAUUCCUUUCGACGCAGAGGUCCGAGGUGCUGUGCGAGGUGUCCCGCAGGAAGCGCAGCCCCAGCCCCCAGCACGUUAAGGCUUCUGCUUCCCCGCUUUGGAGGGGAAGGGCGCCGAGGAGAAGGGAUCCGCGCCGGGCAGCUCCGUAGUCCUGGAGGACAGCGGGACCACAGAGACAGAGCCCGCUAUGGCCUGCCUGUUGGUCUGAGACACCACUUUGUAAGCAGCUAUGGGCUUGGCCUCGAGGCCUGGCCCGUCCUCGGGGCUGUAGUGCCGGGAAUACUUGGACAGGGACUGCGGACGGAAAGGCUGGUUCCCCGCGGCGCCCAGCGCGGCGUCCGGGGGCAGCGCGGGGCCUUGGCUCCUCUCCCCAGCCACGUCCCCCUGCUCCGGCAGCCCUCCUUUAGCAGGGACGCUCUCCUGGGCCUCCACAGCUCUCCCGGAGCAGGGAUGGAGGCUGCCUGGCUGAGGGAACCCGGCAGGAGGAUACUGAGACCUCGCCGAGGCCGCGGCCCCGUGCGCCGCCGAAUCCAGGCUGGGGAGCAGCGGGAGAGCUCGGCCAUCGCCCCCUUGGCUGAGGAAAACAGGUGCUGGGAACGGCUCCUUAUGGGAAGUCAACUCUUCCAUGCUUUUCUUCUUAGUGAAAGGGGCUCUCAGAAACACAUCUGCUUCUUCUGGAUGUCGCAGAGCCACGUUGCCCUUGGAGAGAAAAGGAGCUUUGGUAAAGACAUCCCCCUCAUCCAGCACUUUCCUGGAGCUUCGGAAAGGAGCCGUGGCAAAAACAUCCGGUUCGUUAAAAGCCUCCCCGGUGUGCGACUGGAAGGCUGGGAACAGCAUCUCCCCUGCUCUGGACUGGGAGUGAGGAUCUCCCUUGGAGGCCUCGUGCCUCUCCCUGGGCACAGGCUGCAGGAACCCUGGGCACAGCUUGCACGUCUCCUCUUCCUCUUCCGAAUCCAUCAGUAAAGGCCUGGACCCGCUGCAAUCCAGAAUAUCUCCCUCAUGGUCUGUGCCCUCUCCUUCACUGCUGUAGAAGGAGCUGUUGCUUGAAGGACCAUCUCUGGCUAAAUAUUCUGACUCCGAGUUGUGCUGCACUUUCACCUCCAGCAUCUUGGACUGACCCUUGUACAAAGCGAGUCCGUCACUGCCAGAAUCUGCUUUACAGAGCUCAAGAGCUACAGCUGGGAACACGCCUGGAUCCCUCUGCAGACCUACAAACACAAGAGAAGAGUGUUACUCAACCAGCUCCACGCCCUUGGUCAUCAGUCAGCAUGAGAGGUACUUAUGACACAAGAACAUCACACUGUUCAGAUGGAAACCACCACCACGCAUGGAAAAUGGGCAGGAGAGGGAGGGAAACCAAUGGAACUAAAAAUGCCAGGAAGGUGUUUACGACACACGAGCUGACACACAACUAACCCAGCCUGGGGACACACAGGCACCACUGCUCAGAGGUGGAGGAUGUCUGACACACGCAGGGGGCACACGCAGCACUCUCAGCACCACCCACAGGUCUCCCCUCCCUCCCACCCGCGACGACGACACCACGGCAGAGGGUUCACGUCCCAACGCUGCUGCCCAGAGUGAAGCUCCAGCAGACAGACAAGUUCUGUCACUGCCUGCUGCCCUGCUGGCUGCCCUCUGAGCACAGCCACCGCUUGGCACAGCCUCUGUUCCUGUGAGCCAGCCCACGGAUACGUGGAAUUACACUCAGGCUUGGAAAAUACACAGGAGUGCCCCUCAAUCUGCUAAAAUAACAUGGCCCUUUCAAAGACUGAAGGUCAGCCUACAGCUUUUAGUGAAUCCUUGUAACUGCAGCAGCAGCAUUUUUAACUACUGCCAGAGAAACCAUUUUUAAACAUCCAUACCCUGACUUUAAAUCAAGGAUCAUGACUACAAUGACCUGGCUUGUUUCUGGAUUUGAUAACAAGACAGUGCAGGGAGAGGCUGCCCUGCCCUUCUCCAGGGUUGGUUUUGCCUCACGACUCACACAGACAGAACAGAAGAUCUCUUACCUUCACAGAACUACUGGCAGGUUGGGAGUGUGUCAUUGGACUCAUGUUAGCAAGAGGACAGGAAAAAAUCACAUGAAAACUAAGCAGUAGGAAUUGCAGGAAGAACGAGGAGGGUGAGGAGGCUGGUUGGUGCCCACGGACAGCAGGGCACUAACCCACACACCCUGCUGUGCCAGAGCAGCCUCCUCACCCAGGGGAAGCUCUGCCCAGGUCAGUCAUUCAUGUUUGCACACCCAUCACAGCCCUCAGGGCACUGCUCCAUGAGCCAUGGACACACACGGGUUAUCCCCUUCUCCAGCACCUCUCACAAUUAAAGACACAGCAGGCGUUCAUUAGGCAUCAAAACUGGUAUUUAUUGGGAAACUCUUCACUUGGAUACAUGACACUGCUAAAUAAAGACAGUGCAGAUAUGUGAACA